AAGUCGUAACAAGGUUUCCGUAGGUGAACCUGCGGAAGGAUCAUUACCGAGUUUUCUGGUUUACAGAUUUCUCCCACCCUUGUGUAUUUUGAUGCUGAUAAGCAGCUUCGGCGGGCCGUUCUUGGGGUUUGUCAAUUGUCCUGCAAUUGAUAGAGACCAAGAACAUCGGCCUUUAAAGCGGAUCUGUGUCCGCCGAAGGAAACCCAAUUCUUGAUAAUUGUAAAGUCUGAAAAAAACUUGAUAAUAAAAUCAAAACUUUCAACAACGGAUCUCUUGGUUCUG
Molecule: unclassified non-coding RNA, 282 nt
Filed under: fungal sp.
Lineage: Eukaryota; Fungi
Also listed under: 1 other name
Description: partial internal transcribed spacer region
Rfam family: Eukaryotic small subunit ribosomal RNA (bases 1-46)
Source: RNAcentral